Molecule: ribosomal RNA, 254 nt
Filed under: uncultured bacterium
Lineage: Bacteria
Description: partial 16S ribosomal RNA
Rfam family: Bacterial small subunit ribosomal RNA
Source: RNAcentral
UACAGAGGUCUCAAGCGUUGUUCGGAUUCAUUGGGCGUAAAGGGUGCGUAGGUGGCGCUGUAAGUCGGGUGUGAAAUUUCGGAGCUUAACUCCGAAACUGCAUUCGAUACUGCGGUGCUUGAGGACUGGAGAGGAGACUGGAAUUCGAUGGUGUAGCAGUGAAAUGCGUAGAGAUCAUGAGGAAGACCAGUGGCGAAGGCGGGUCUCUGGACAGUUCCUGACACUGAGGCACGAAGGCCAGGGGAGCAAACGGG